Molecule: long non-coding RNA, 1165 nt
Filed under: Numida meleagris (helmeted guineafowl)
Lineage: Eukaryota; Metazoa; Chordata; Aves; Galliformes; Numididae
Description: lncRNA (ENSNMEG00000020441.1)
Source: RNAcentral
UUAGUCUUUCACCAUAUUACUUAACAAUGAAGUGAAAUAUGAUGUGUUUCACCAGUUUACUCACUUUUUCUCCUCCAAUUACAGGCAUUCUUCUCUUUCUCUUUUAGAAUUCUAAAAUGGUUGUUUUAUAUUUCAGAUCAUCUUUCACAGAGAGUACAUUAAAUUUAUUUUAUCUAGCUUUGUAGGGUGAGCUGAUUUGCUCAUCAGAUAAUCAGAUUAACUCAAAAAUUGAACUUUAAUUUAAAUAAUUCUACAGCAAUUAUCUUUCAAUCCCUCCCUCGACCAGCAACUAAGAUGCCUUAUUGAUUAUGGCUUUCAACUUAUCCAUUUCAGGCAGAAGGAAUCAGAUAGCUGACACCUUUACUUUUUUACUUAUGCCUUUUUUACUUUUAAAAGUGAAUGAUCACCUAAGAUGCAUGAGGAAUCUUGAGAACAUUCCAAAAAUUAUUUUGCAAGUCAGAAAUCAGUUCAAACCUUUUUUUAUAAAAAAGCUUUUUUUUUAAUCAGAAUCUGUUAUUGAAUAAAAAGACUCUUUCCAAGAAUUUCACUAGAAAACAAAGUAACUAGAAAUAAAUAAAAGCUAUAUUUUAUUCUUUUACAAAAACAUUUUAAAAUAUAAAUUAAAUAUAUGUAUAUUACAAAGUAAUUUCUAUAGAUCUAAGUAACAAUCUCGGCUGAAGCAAACUAAAUCUUAUAUACCUUUUAAUCCCAAUUUUAGUUAGUUAAUUUCCUGAAAAAACUUGGUUUAUAAGACUUUUUUUUCCUUGCCAUUCACUGGUUGUAUUGUAUAUAUGAGUUAUAUUUAUAUAGUCUUUAUUUGUAUUUCUUUGAUUUGUUUUAUUCAUGUUCUUAUGUGUUAUUAUGUGCUUAUGUGCAGGAGAAAACAGAUAAUGUUGGAAAAGAGACUGACAAUAAAAAGGACUUUUCUUACUCUUUUCAAAACUCUGAAUUGUGUCAGCAUCUUUUAUACAACUGAACAAUACUCACUGAAAGAAAGACAUAUUUACUUAAAGACUGCUUUAGCAACCAAAACCCAAAACACAACCAUAAACAGAAAGCACCAUCUAUGACUCAUUGCUUUGUUUCCAUUAUAAUUAAUGACAAUGUUUUUUCAAAAUCUUUCCUUAUAAAAAAAAUAAAAAAUAAAAAGAUGUUGUAUCGUGCA